GAUUAUGAUAAUCUAGCAUAUUAUAACAUUUUCCAUGACGGUGACAUUCUUAACUACCCCUUUCCUCAGGCAUUUUAUGGUUAUUCUAUUGUUUAACCUAAGGCUCUGAUACCACUAGAUGUCACGCCCCGGACCCGGAUCCGUGACACGGCCGUGCUAUUGCCGACUAUCGCCCGCAAUAGCACGUAGCCUCAUACAGGGGUAACAGGUAGCCAAAAGGAUUCAAACUUUUAUAUAUAUUAAAAGCUUUGCAGUACAACCUUCAAGUUUGAAACCAAAAAUACAGAACUUCUAUGCUAUUCAAAUGUACAAAAGUAUAUAUAAGCUUGUCCAAAAAUACGAAGCUCUGUAACAAAAUAAAAACAUAUCUGGUGGCGGUCACUGAUGAGGAUCUGAAAGAAAACGAAACAUAACCAGAUGUGAGCUACACGGCUCAGUAAGUAAUCCUGCAUAAUCCUACCGGAUCAACUAGUAGGCUAAACAUGUAAAUCAGGGUUUGAUAAGUUGACAUGCAUAUUCAUCUAAUAAUCAUCAUGGCACAAUAAGUAUGCGAUUUAAACAAAGCAGUAGUGCAAAUCACAAAAUUUUCAUAAUAUAUGCAUAUGAG
RNAcentral lists this long non-coding RNA (607 nucleotides) under Phoenix dactylifera (date palm). Its description in RNAcentral is "long non-coding RNA (PDAC_LNC013157)". Lineage: Eukaryota; Viridiplantae; Streptophyta; Magnoliopsida; Arecales; Arecaceae. The record is from RNAcentral.